This 52-nucleotide non-coding RNA is filed under the name Spodoptera frugiperda (fall armyworm). Lineage: Eukaryota; Metazoa; Arthropoda; Insecta; Lepidoptera; Noctuidae. The record is from RNAcentral.
UAAGAGAAAAACUCGAUCAACUUUAGGUAUAAAGUUGAUCGAGUUUUUCUCU